RNAcentral lists this ribosomal RNA (403 nucleotides) under uncultured bacterium. RNAcentral's name for it is "partial 16S ribosomal RNA". It matches the Rfam family "Bacterial small subunit ribosomal RNA", at positions 355 to 774 of the family's 1533-position model. The record is from RNAcentral.
CAAGGGAUUUUCCGCAAUGGGGGCAACCCUGACGGAGCAACGCCGCGUGCGGGACGACGCCUCUUGGGGUGUAAACCGCUUUUGCCGGGGAAGAGAACGGACGGUACCCGGCGAAUCAGGACCGGCUAACUACGUGCCAGCAGCCGCGGUAAUACGUAGGGUCCGAGCGUUGUCCGGAGUGACUGGGCGUAAAGCGCGCGCAGGCGGCCCGCGAGGUGUCACGUGAAAGCCCCGAGCUCAACUCGGGAGGGUCGUGGCAAACCGGCGGGCUUGAGGCCGGUAGAGGUGGGUGGAACUCCUGGUGGAGUGGUGAAAUGCGUAGAGAUCAGGAAGAACACCCGUGGCGAAGGCGGCCCACUGGGCCGGACCUGACGCUGAGGCGCGAAGGCGUGGGGAGCGAACG